GAUGAACGCUGGCGGCGUGCUUAACACAUGCAAGUCGAACGAAGCAUUUAGGACAGAUUACUUCGGUUUGAAGUUCUUUAUGACUGAGUGGCGGACGGGUGAGUAACGCGUGGGUAACCUGCCUUGUACUGGGGGAUAGCAGCUGGAAACGGCUGGUAAUACCGCAUAAGCGCACAAUGUUGCAUGACAUGGUGUGAAAAACUCCGGUGGUAUAAGAUGGACCCGCGUCUGAUUAGCUAGUUGGUGAGAUAACAGCCCACCAAGGCGACGAUCAGUAGCCGACCUGAGAGGGUGACCGGCCACAUUGGGACUGAGACACGGCCCAGACUCCUACGGGAGUCAGCAGUGGGGAAUACUGCACAAUGGAGGAAACUCUGAUGCAGCGACGCCGCGUGAGUGAAGAAGUAAUUCGUUAUGUAAAGCUCUAUCAGCAGGGAAGAUAGUGACGGUACCUGACUAAGAAGCUCCGGCUAAAUACGUG
This 481-nucleotide ribosomal RNA is filed under the name uncultured bacterium. Its description in RNAcentral is "partial 16S ribosomal RNA". It matches the Rfam family "Bacterial small subunit ribosomal RNA", at positions 28 to 507 of the family's 1533-position model. The record is from RNAcentral.